GAUGAACGCUAGCGGCAGGCCUAACACAUGCAAUUCGAGGGAGAAGCCCUUUCGGGGGCAGAAACCGGCGCACGGGUGCGUAACGCGUAUGCAACCUACCUUUCACAGGGGGAUAGCCCGAAGAAAUUUGGAUUAAUACCCCAUAAUAUUAUUGGAUGGCAUCAUUUGAUAAUUAAAACUGCGGUGGUGAAAGAUGGGCAUGCGUCCUAUUAGCUAGUUGGAGUGGUAACGGCACCCCAAGGCUACGAUAGGUAGGGGUCCUGAGAGGGAGAUCCCCCACACUGGUACUGAGACAGGGACCAGACUCCUACGGGAGGCAGCAGUGAGGAAUAUUGGUCAAUGGUCGGAAGACUGAACCAGCCAUGCCGCGUGCAGGAAGAAUGCCUUAUGGGUUGUAAACUGCUUUUAUAUGGGAAGAAUAAGGCGUACGUGUACGUUGAUGACGGUACCAUAUGAAUAAGCAUCGGCUAACUCCGUG
RNAcentral lists this ribosomal RNA (478 nucleotides) under uncultured bacterium. RNAcentral describes it as "partial 16S ribosomal RNA". It matches the Rfam family "Bacterial small subunit ribosomal RNA", at positions 28 to 507 of the family's 1533-position model. The record is from RNAcentral.